Molecule: ribosomal RNA, 873 nt
Filed under: uncultured bacterium
Lineage: Bacteria
Description: bacterial SSU rRNA
Rfam family: Bacterial small subunit ribosomal RNA
Source: RNAcentral
GACGAACGCUGGCGGUGUGCUUAAGACAUGCAAGUCGAGCGGUCCCGCAAGGGACAGCGGCGGACGGGUGAGUAACACGUGGAUAACCUGCCCGGCUCCCCGGGAUAACAGGCCGAAAGGCCUGCUAAUACCGGGUAAGCUCACGCUACCGCAUGGUAGUGGGAGAAAAGGUCCUGCAAGGGACUGGGGUUGGAGGGGUCCGCGGUCCAUUAGCUAGUUGGUGGGGUAACGGCCCACCAAGGCGACGAUGGAUAGCCGGCCUGAGAGGGCGACCGGCCACACUGGGACUGAGACACGGCCCAGACUCCUACGGGAGGCAGCAGUCGGGAAUUUUGGGCAAUGGCCGAAAGGGCUGACCCAGCAACACCGCGUGAGUGAAGAAGGCCUUCGGGUUGUAAAGCUCUGUUGCCCGUGAAGAACGGUGCAGGCAGGAAAUGGCCUGUACUUGACGGUAGCGGGAGAGGAAGCUCCGGCUAACUACGUGCCAGCAGCCGCGGUAGUACGUAGGGAGCGAGCGUUGUCCGGAUUUAUUGGGCGUAAAGGGCGUGUAGGCGGCCUGUUAAGUCUGAAGUGAAAAUCCAGGGCUCAACCCUGGAACUGCUUCGGAUACUGAUGGGCUUGAGUGCUCUAGAGGGUAGUGGAAUUGCCGGUGUAGCAGUGAAAUGCGUAGAGAUCGGCAGGAACACCAGUGGCGAAGGCGACUGCCUGGGGAGUAACUGACGCUGAGGCGCGAAAGCUGGGGGAGCAAACGGGAUUAGAUACCCCGGUAGUCCCAGCCGUAAACGAUGAGUGCUGGUGUAGCGGGUAUCGACCCCCGCUGUGCCGCAGUUAACGCAUUAAGCACUCCGCCUGGGGAGUACGGCCGCAAGGUUG